AUUGAACGCUGGCGGCAUGCUUUACACAUGCAAGUCGAACGGUAACAGGUUAAGCUGACGAGUGGCGAACGGGUGAGUAAUGCAUCGGAACGUGCCCGAUCGUGGGGGAUAACGCAGCGAAAGCUGCGCUAAUACCGCAUACGAUCUGAGGAUGAAAGCGGGGGACCGUAAGGCCUCGCGCGAUCGGAGCGGCCGAUGUCAGAUUAGGUAGUUGGUGGGGUAAAGGCUCACCAAGCCAACGAUCUGUAGCUGGUCUGAGAGGACGACCAGCCACACUGGGACGGAGACACGGCCCAGACUCCUACGGGAGGCAGCAGUGGGGAAUUUUGGACAAUGGACGCAAGUCUGAUCCAGCCAUGCCGCGUGCGGGAAGAAGGCCUUCGGGUUGUAAACCGCUUUUGUCAGGGAAGAAAUCUUCUGGACUAAUACUCUGGGAGGAUGACGGUACCUGAAGAAUAAGCACCGGCUAACUACGUGCCAGCAGCCGCGGUAA
RNAcentral lists this ribosomal RNA (493 nucleotides) under uncultured bacterium. RNAcentral's name for it is "partial 16S ribosomal RNA". It matches the Rfam family "Bacterial small subunit ribosomal RNA", at positions 30 to 523 of the family's 1533-position model. The record is from RNAcentral.